Molecule: ribosomal RNA, 763 nt
Filed under: Salmonella enterica subsp. enterica
Lineage: Bacteria; Pseudomonadati; Pseudomonadota; Gammaproteobacteria; Enterobacterales; Enterobacteriaceae
Description: bacterial SSU rRNA
Rfam family: Bacterial small subunit ribosomal RNA
Source: RNAcentral
UAGAGUUUGAUUCAUGGCUCAGAUUGAACGCUGGCGGCAGGCCUAACACAUGCAAGUCGAACGGUAACAGGAAGCAGCUUGCUGCUUCGCUGACGAGUGGCGGACGGGUGAGUAAUGUCUGGGAAACUGCCUGAUGGAGGGGGAUAACUACUGGAAACGGUAGCUAAUACCGCAUAACGUCGCAAGACCAAAGAGGGGGACCUUCGGGCCUCUUGCCAUCGGAUGUGCCCAGAUGGGAUUAGCUAGUAGGUGGGGUAACGGCUCACCUAGGCGACGAUCCCUAGCUGGUCUGAGAGGAUGACCAGCCACACUGGAACUGAGACACGGUCCAGACUCCUACGGGAGGCAGCAGUGGGGAAUAUUGCACAAUGGGCGCAAGCCUGAUGCAGCCAUGCCGCGUGUAUGAAGAAGGCCUUCGGGUUGUAAAGUACUUUCAGCGGGGAGGAAGGCGAUGAGGUUAAUAACCUCAUCGAUUGACGUUACCCGCAGAAGAAGCACCGGCUAACUCCGUGCCAGCAGCCGCGGUAAUACGGAGGGUGCAAGCGUUAAUCGGAAUUACUGGGCGUAAAGCGCACGCAGGCGGUCUGUCAAGUCGGAUGUGAAAUCCCCGGGCUCAACCUGGGAACUGCAUUCGAAACUGGCAGGCUAGAGUCUUGUAGAGGGGGGUAGAAUUCCAGGUGUAGCGGUGAAAUGCGUAGAGAUCUGGAGGAAUACCGGUGGCGAAGGCGGCCCCCUGGACAAAGACUGACGCUCAGGUGCGAAA